GCAAUAGAUCAAAAUUCACAUGCCAAGGGAAAACAUGUUUGAGGCAACUCCUAGGUUUUUGGUCUAAGAGUCUUUCAUGGAGAGGUUGAAAGUGGGAUGAAGCCAAGGAUGACUUGCCGACAUUAAUUUGCCAUUAAGCUAACGAGUUAGGUAGAAUCAUUUGUUAGAUUUUCCCGGCAGGUCAUCCUCUGGCUAUAUUUGGCUUUCUUCCUCUCAUGUGAGACUCUAAUGACCUUCUCAUAUAGUUUGAAUAAGUUCCUAGACAGAAAUGGUUAGAAUUCCAAGAUGCAAAAAGAUGAGCAAAUUCGAUUAAGCUGGGAAAAUAAGUCAAACAUAUCUCCAUGUUUCAGAAGUUUUUAACAUUUUCAGCAUUUCAAUAGUUUUUAAUUUUUUCUAAUUAGUUAUCUUCUUAAAGAGUAGAAGCUCCUCAAAUUAACCUCUAAUAUAAAAAUUUUGUUUCAUGGACUUUUGUUUAUUAAAAACAUUGUUUUUGUAAGGGUUUUUUAAAAUAAUAUUUUUAGCCUGAUUUGUCCUUUUAAAAAUAAGAUCUAAAUAUGUUUUUUAUCCCACAAAUUUGAAUCACUUUUGUUUGUGGUCUCUAGAAUUUAAAUUUAUUUCUUUUAGUUUUUCAAUUUUAAAAAAUAAUUUUUUUUGUCAUGCAAGGGGAGGUACAGAACAAGGACGUACCUCAAUAUAGGAGGAUCGCAACCCUGCUCAUCAAGAUUAUAGGCAAACCCAAAUGGGCAUUGAUAGGAAGACUUCGACCAUUGCGACCGCUCAAGCAAAUAGGUGUGCCAUUAGUACACAAUUUUGUAGUCAUUACCAUUGUUCAAUUUAGAUCCUUGAGGAUGUUAAGAAUGAUUGGUGGCACAAAUUUGGGAUAAGUUGGACUGUGUGUAUUUAUUCAUUAUUAUUUUACAAAUAGUUAUUUAACUUUUUAUUAAUAAAUGUUAAUUAUUAAUUUUGUUGAUUGGGAGGACCAAACUGAUGAUUUUUUUUCCCUUAAUCAUCCAAUCAACUUUAUAUCUUCAAAUAAUUAUUUAACUUUCAUAUAUACCAACUAACAAUAUCUCUCAAUCAUUGCCUAGAACAAAGUUUCAUGGAUACUCACGAGGAGAUUCUCUAUAACAUGUUUAAGUUAUUUGGAUAUGAUAUCUCGUGGAUAUUCUCACCAAGGUGAGAAAGGCUUAUUUGGAUUGAGGCGAAGGUUAGGUUAGUCUUGUUGCUUAUUGGGAUGGUGAUGCCAUUUUUAUGUCUUCAACUCAAAACAAGACCAAUUAAUUAGGCUUCGAUUAGAGGUAGAGUAGUCCAAACUACAAGUUGUAGGUCUUAACUCAAGGUGGAAUUAGACAUGUAUAUGUAUUCACUCACAGACGCAUGUUUUAUGUAGUUCAAUAUUUUUUUAAUGCAUCAUAUUUUUAGACUAAACAUUAAUAUAUUUUUGUUUUUUUCCUUGUAAAACUAUUUUUUUAUUUUUACUUCUUGAAAAUUAUGUUUAUUUUGUUUUUGGUUCUUAUAUUACUUUAGCUAAAUAGUAUUUUAAACAGCAAAAAAAAUAUAAACUAAAGUGUUGUGAAAAUAAAAAAUAAAACAAACAUAACUUAUAAGAACUAAAAAAAAUACUAAAUUAUAAGGACUAAAAUAAUAUUUAAAUCAAAUAUUAAUUAUCUUUUGUACAUGAUAAGAAUAUUUGGACGAUUUAUUACAUAUGGACCUUAAUGAGCUAUUUUUGGCCACCCACAAGAGGUAUGGCAAUUGGGUUGAUGGCCACUCUCAAAGGGCAUAAGUUGUCAAUCAUAACAUUUUCGUAUACAAAUUCAUUUGUCAAAUCAAUAUAAGUAUAUCUUACUAGUUUAUGAUCUUGAUCUAAAAUUCAACAUAAGGACAUUCAACACUGUUCUAGCUAAAUGUAGCACAAACUGGUGAGGCCUUUGAAGAUACAACACAGAAGAUUGAUGGAUCGACCAAGCUUGGCAUUUGGCAGGAGGUUGCUGACAGUGACGAGGAGAGGACUACUACUUUGGAGCAACACAUGUAUGCUAUGUUGGUGCACAUGGCAGGUUUGGAUCAUCAGUACUCAGGCUCCUAUCCUAAGAGUAGCACACCUAAACAUCCACACUAUCAAGAUUAUAUGGACAAUUAUUUCUUGGAUGACAAUGAGACUUGACUAGAGAUAUUUUUGUUCUAUUUUUUUUGUCUUUUUUCUUGUGUACUUUGACUAUCAUAUUACAUAGAUAUCGAUGAGCAUAAUUGUACAAGAUGAAUUUUUUCGUUUCUUUCUA
This is a long non-coding RNA of Glycine soja, 2282 nucleotides long. RefSeq lists it as uncharacterized. Lineage: Eukaryota; Viridiplantae; Streptophyta; Magnoliopsida; Fabales; Fabaceae. The record is from RefSeq and is a predicted model, not a curated record. The transcript is spliced from 2 exons.